GACGAACGCUGGCGGCGUGCUUAACACAUGCAAGUCGAACGGAAAGGCCCUGCUUUUGUGGGGUGCUCGAGUGGCGAACGGGCGAGUAACACGUGAGUAACCUGCCCUUGACUUUGGGAUAACUUCAGGAAACUGGGGCUAAUACCGGAUAGGAGCUCCUGCUGCAUGGUGGGGGUUGGAAAGUUUCGGCGGUUGGGGAUGGACUCGCGGCUUAUCAGCUUGUUGGUUGGGUAGUGGCUUACCAAGGCUUUGACGGGUAGCCGGCCUGAGAGGGUGACCGGCCACAUUGGGACUGAGAUACGGCCCAGACUACUACGGGAGGCAGCAGUGGGGAAUAUUGCACAAUGGGCGGAAGCCUGAUGCAGCAACGCCGCGUGCGGGAUGACGGCCUUCGGGUUGUAAACCGCUUUCGCCUGUGACGAAGCGUGAGUGACGGUAAUGGGUAAAGAAGCACCGGCUAACUACGUG
RNAcentral lists this ribosomal RNA (468 nucleotides) under uncultured bacterium. Its description in RNAcentral is "partial 16S ribosomal RNA". It matches the Rfam family "Bacterial small subunit ribosomal RNA", at positions 28 to 507 of the family's 1533-position model. The record is from RNAcentral.